Molecule: long non-coding RNA, 2275 nt
Organism: Amblyraja radiata (thorny skate)
Lineage: Eukaryota; Metazoa; Chordata; Chondrichthyes; Rajiformes; Rajidae
Exons: 3
Source: RefSeq, a predicted model, not a curated record
AUGGCUGAUCUGUCUCUCCCUCCUAACCACAUUCUCCUGCCUUCUCCCCAUAACCUCUGACACCUAGAUGCUAGAAGUGUCCAGGGUGCUCUCCACUGCCACUUUUGAAGACUGGUGCACAGUCCCUCGGCUCUCCCUGAAUUCAACAAUCAACUGCUUAGUCUUAGUUAGCGUUGCAAGGGAGGUUGUUCUGGAAGCACUCAACUAGAUUAUCGAUCUCCUGCAUAUACUCUGAUUUAUCAUUAUCUUUUAUUUGUCCAAUAAUGGUGGUAUCAUUGGUGGAUUUAAAGGUGGCACUGGAUCUGCGUCUGCCUACACAGUCCAGUGUAUAAAGCAAGUCGAGCAGGGACCGAGCAUGCAACCUCAAUGUGCCCGGAUGCUGAUGGUCGACGAGGAGGAGGUGUCAUUGCCGAUUCAUACUGACUGAGGUCUGCUUAUGAGGAGGUCACAAAUCCAGUUACACAAGGAAAGUGCAGAGCAGAGCACCUGUGAGAUCACAUCGGCUGUUGCUCCAUUGUGGCAGUAGGUCAUUUGAAAGACUGGCUCAUUCCUUACUCAGGUAAUAGUUGAUCUGCAUCACAAACCAGCUCUCAAAGUACUUCGAGCACAACAGACGUGCCACCACUAGGUAAUCUAUUAUACUUUGUCACAUGUACAUAGGUACAGUAAAAUUCCUUUUUUGCAUACAAUCAGUAAUAAUCUUACUAUAAAUAAGCACAAUUACACUUAAGUAUAAGAGUGUAGGAAUGGUAGAUUAGACUGAGAGAACACACGAGUUGCCACAUUUCUAGCAACAUUUUAUAUUAUUCAAGUCCAAAAGUUGAAACAUUUAUCAGAAUAUGAAUAGUUACCAGUAGAUCCAGGGAGUGUGUGAAUAUUUACUGUUGUCUGUGAACAUUUAGUGGUAGACGUGGAGAGUGUGAAUAUUUACUGGAGGUCUCAGAGAGUGAUUGUACUCUCAAUCAGUUUAUUCUUACCAGGUAAGCAAUUGCCAUUUCUCAAUCUGCCCAACAGACCCAGACUAUUUUUUACUCUGAUGAACCUGAAUGUCUUGGCAACUUGGCAACUGUUUCCUCUGUGGAUUAAAAUGGACAUUACUCUCAAAUAGGAGAGUCCUGUUGCCUCAGAAUGGAAGGGCAAUUUCUGAACAGAUAGUAUUGUACAGAGCAAAUGCUUUAAUUUUUCCAUUUGAAAUCAAGGUUUGGAAACUCAGGUCAAAUUGGUUAGAAUUUCCGUAUGUACAGACAUUCAUUGACUUACAUAAUUUGUAAUUUCCACAACACUCGGAAACGGGCCAGCAAUGCUUAGCCAGAAACCGACGUGCCACAGAAAGUUCCCCAACGGAGAAACAGAACUGAAGCCAGCAAUGGCGUCCGUAGAAAGCACCACGCCUCAGAAGGUGCCCCAAUGGCGAGACGGAACUCACGCCAGCAAUGCUGAUCCAGAAAGCCGUGCGCUGCAGAAAAUGCCCUGGAUACCUCCGAGACAGUUAAUACUCUCAGUAAAAGACAAAGUGGUGGAGUAACUCAGCGGGCCAGGCAGCAUCUCUCUCGAGAACAUGGAUAGGUGACAAUUCAGUUUGAGACCCUUUUGCAGACCCAGUUAUUUUGGGCAGGGGAUGGGGAUUCCGACUUGCGCAAAAUCUGACUUGCAUAUGGUUUCGCGAAAUGUAACCCUUACACAAGUCGGGGAUGCCUAUAUACCCCGAGUUUCUUCUUCACAUGUGAUGGCAAUCUAAAGUGAUUGGGGAUUCAAUUAUUAUGACAUUAAACUGGAUAAGAAACAAUAAUCCUCCAACAAUUCUCAGGUGCAGGAAUUAACACAAAUGAGACAACAUGAAACAACAGAUUACCAAGAAUCGCUGGUUUGGAGAUGAGAAACAUAAUUAAAGGAAUAAGCCUUAUACUUGGAAUCCAUGUUGAAAAUCUGUAAUACAAGUGUUCACGUGAUCCGUUAAACAAAAUAUAAAAUCAAAACACAUCUUGAGUUUUGAAAUUGAGUUUAUUUCAGUCAGAGAAUUCCUAUUGAAACUUGCUCCUGUGACAUCAUAAUCCCAGAGAUUUUCCUUCACUGUUCUUUCACUCACGGGGAUCUGUUUUAACUGUACGAUAAAGAUUUGCAAAGAACUAAAGAUGUACCUGUACUGCUUUUCAAGUAUUGUACUUUGAAGCCUCUUCUAAUGGAGCUGUACAGCUGAGGUGUGUCAUCAGCAGUUUAUCCCCAAGGACUGCUUCACAUGAUACUCAUCAGCACACACAGCUGGCACCUACUGCAA